This is a non-coding RNA of Paramarasmius palmivorus, 86 nucleotides long. Lineage: Eukaryota; Fungi; Basidiomycota; Agaricomycetes; Agaricales; Marasmiaceae. The record is from the annotation of a GenBank genome assembly.
GGGCACAUGGUGUAGUUGGUUAUCACAUCCGCUUAGCAUAAUCAAGUGUCUGCGGGGGGUGCUGGGUUCAAUUCCCAGUGUGUCCA